AUGAUCUGGGUCCGUGUAGGGGACAGUUCGGAUGCAUUCGCCCACAUAAUUCACCAGGAAGGGCAUCAGGAAGUGAGUCUUCAUCUGCCAGGGCUUGAAGCUCCCUGUGAUUUUAGAGUUGUGGCCAUCUUCCAUCCAUCGGUGAAUGUUACGUUUAUAGAAACUACUCAAAGGCAGACGGUGGUUCUUAGACCAAGGCGCCUGGGGAAGCCUUUCCGAUGCAUAGGCAUCAGGUCCCCGAGUGAAAUGUCUGCCAUCCGCCCUCCACGAGGACCCAAGCUCAGCGGGGAGAAAAACAGCAGAGAAAUGCAUCCGCGGCCUUCCCACCCACACACCAGUCCGGGCUGCAGCGCCCUCUCCUGGGACUCUGCAAAGCCUCUGCCUGGGCCUCAGCUCCCACCCCGGCACCCUGCAAUCUCUUCACACAGACUGGAGACCCAUCUAUAAAAACCAUUCAAAACCCUUUGCUCACUUCAAGUACACGUCAAGCCUUUCUUGGGAAUCCCUGGCCCUGCCUGCUUCUGACACCAGGUCCCGCUCUAGCUCCAGCCACCCCAGGUCCUCCUGGGACCUCUGGAUAUGCCGGUCGCUGUGUACAUCACAUUCAGGCACAGUGGUGGGCGGGUGGGAGGCCCCCCCCCCCCCAAAGGAAUCCCGGUACUAAUCCCUGGAACCUGGGAAUGUGCCCUCACGCGGUGAUAAAGGUGAAUCCUGAGGACUACCUAGGUGUGCCCUAAGUGCCGCCACUUGCAUCAGAAGAUGAGGGGUGCAGAGGCUGAAGGCCCUGGAGCAGGAUGCUGCACUCCCACAUGGGAGGCGGCGGCGGCUCCAGGGAACAAGGCAUGCGAGGCCCACAGCUCUCGGCCCCUGAAUGGGCCACGAGGGACUCUCCUGGAGCAAACACUCUGGUCUCAGCCCAUGGCUCCCGCCCUCCAGAGCUGUGGGAGAGCGAGUAUUAUUUUCCAGCCCCAGGUGUGUGGUCAGGGUCACAGCGGCCACGGGACACCCAGAGGGAAAUGUCAUUUCCUCAGGAAAACGCCGUCUGGUUUCUAGGACCAAAGUUCCCUCCGUCAGGGGCUCUUGGGGCACCCCAUGUCUCCUCUUCAUAGAAAUCACCCCGGUCUCUCUCCCUGCAGUCACCUCGUGGUUAUUUGACUUGCAGUUCUCACUAGGCUGCGAAUUCCAUGAGGGCAGGAACUGUGGGCUGGGCUUACAGCACUGCACCAUCAGCAGUACCCGGCUGAGCCCCCACAGCAGGCGCUCAAGAAAUGCUUGUCUCUGAAUGACAUAAGCACAGUAUUCCCCAGCCAGCCAGCCAUCUGUCCGUCCGUCCGUCCGUCUGUCCUGGUCAAUAAAUAAGCCCAGGCUUUUUUCUGUGCCCGGGACAUUGUUGCUAAUCGUGGCCGGCACCACACACGGGGGAUGCAAAGCUCCUGGUGGCGGCCUUGUGCCUCGGCCAUGUUGCACGCGCUCUUGUAAGCAUGAAGCAGCAGGGCCAAGUGGUUAGCAGGGGUGCCCGGUGCUCACCUGCCAGCCCCAGGGCCUGCAUUGAGGUCCAGGAAGGGACAGGAGGGGCCUGAGUCACCAGGGAAAGCCCGUUCAUUUGGGUCAAGGGGCCCAGGGAGCUCUGGAGGCUGUGCGGGAGCAGCACAGGCCUCAGUGACACAGGAGGCUGCCUGGGCACAGUCCAGGUCCUCAUGAAAGGGGAGGCCUGCAGGCAGCACAGCAGGGUGGGUGUGAGGCAAGCAGCAGAGCAGGUUGCAGGCAGUGGCGAGUUAGUCACGAGCGGGACAGCUCAGCUCUCGGCAUCUCAUUGUGGGUAAGGGAGGCCAGGGCGGUCAGGAAGUUUAAAGGCAAAGCCAGUCCUGUAG
Molecule: long non-coding RNA, 1871 nt
Filed under: Macaca mulatta (Rhesus monkey)
Lineage: Eukaryota; Metazoa; Chordata; Mammalia; Primates; Cercopithecidae
Description: lncRNA (ENSMMUG00000060675.1)
Source: RNAcentral